Molecule: ribosomal RNA, 265 nt
Filed under: uncultured Glomus
Lineage: Eukaryota; Fungi; Glomeromycota; Glomeromycetes; Glomerales; Glomeraceae
Description: partial 18S ribosomal RNA
Rfam family: Eukaryotic small subunit ribosomal RNA
Source: RNAcentral
UUAAAAAGCUCGUAGUUGAAUUUCGGGGUUAGUAGGUUGGUCAUGCCUCUGGUAUGUACUGGUCUCACUGAUUCCUCCUUCCUGAUGAACCGUAAUGCCAUUAAUUUGGUGUUGCGGGGAAUUUGGACUGUUACUUUGAAAAAAUUAGAGUGUUUAAAGCAAGCUAACGCUUGAAUACAUUAGCAUGGGAUAAUGAAAUAGGACGUUCGAUCCUAUUUUGUUGGUUUCUAGGAUUGACGUAAUGAUUAAUAGGGAUAGUUGGGGG